RNAcentral lists this ribosomal RNA (332 nucleotides) under uncultured eukaryote. RNAcentral describes it as "partial 18S ribosomal RNA". It matches the Rfam family "Eukaryotic small subunit ribosomal RNA", at positions 1470 to 1796 of the family's 1831-position model. The record is from RNAcentral.
CCCUUAGAUGUUCUGGGCUGCACACGUGCUACACUGGCAGGUUCAGCGAGCUUCAUGCCCUGAUCUGAAAGGAAUGUGAAAUCUUUUCAAAACCUGCCGUGCUUGGGAUAGAUGUUUGCAAUUAUUCAUCUUCAACGAGGAUUGCCUUGUAAGCGCACGUCAUCAGCGUGCAUUGAAUACGACCCUGUAUUCUGUACACACCGCCCGUCGCUCCUACCGAUUGAAGUUUUCGGUGAGUUGACAGGAGGAUUUUUUUGAAACUGGUUCGCCAGUGGAUUUUAGAUCCAAAUGCCAACGAAUCGAUGGCUUUAGAGGAAGGAGAAGUCGUAACA